GAAAUUUUAUUUUGUUGGCUUAUAUACACUUUUAUUUUUCGAACCCCCUAAACAAAAAUCCUGAAUCCACCACUAGAUUUGAUCAAAUAUUACCAUCAGAUCUAGACUAAGAUCUUUCAUUUCAUAAAUCCUGAUACAACUAAUAUAAGUAGACAUUCGGAGCUGGAUUAAGUCCUUUUUCCUCAAGCCAAUAUCAAGAUAUAAGCGCGAAUGAAAGAACUCAGCAUUCUAAACCGUUUUCUGUUCAAGAACGUAACAAGAAUUUACACUUCAGGCGCAACCUCCAUUGUUUCUCCAUCUGGAGCUUCUUUAUCGUCUGUAGCAGUUCCUUCUUCAGACUGCAUUUGAGUUGGAGAAGGCGGUAACAGCUGCACCACGUUUUCCACAAGCUCUUCCACUGUUUCUGCAGCUUCCCCAAGAAGGGCGUCAUAUUUCCUUAAUAUCGGAUAAAGUUCAACGAGUGAAGAUGGCCUGAUAUUGAUGAUGUUAACGAUCUCAUCCCCCUCGAGUUUGAUACAUUCACAUUGUUUCGGUUUGAUACAUUCACAUUUUUCCAGUUUGAUACAUUUACAUUUUCCCAUGAGUUCACCAAUCACUUGUCUUGUCUGAUUGCAAGCAGCAGUUUGCUCUAAAUAAUCAUAUACCUUGAACUCUGAUGGUGCAAUGGGGACUAUGACCCGCGUAGGAUCUCUUCCUGCACCUCUGGAGCGUAGAAAAUCAAGCACCUCAAAAUUUG
This 736-nucleotide unclassified non-coding RNA is filed under the name Hevea brasiliensis (rubber tree). The record is from RNAcentral. Lineage: Eukaryota; Viridiplantae; Streptophyta; Magnoliopsida; Malpighiales; Euphorbiaceae.